AGCUCCAAUAGCGUAUAUUAAAGUUGUUGCAGUUAAAAAGCUCGUAGUUGGAUCUCAGGCGCAGGCGGGCGGUCCGGCUCGCGCCGGUCACUGCCCGUUGUUCCUGCCCUACCGUCUGCAGGCUCUCUCCCGCGGGUGCUCUUCGCUGAGCGUCCCGGGUGGCCUGUACUUUUACUUUGAAAAAAUUAGAGUGUUCAAAGCAGGCCUCGGCUGCCUGAAUAAUGGUGCAUGGAAUAAUGGAAUAGGACCUUUCUAUUU
RNAcentral lists this ribosomal RNA (258 nucleotides) under Gastropoda environmental sample. Its description in RNAcentral is "partial small subunit ribosomal RNA". It matches the Rfam family "Eukaryotic small subunit ribosomal RNA", at positions 587 to 838 of the family's 1831-position model. The record is from RNAcentral. Lineage: Eukaryota; Metazoa; Mollusca; Gastropoda.